AGUGAACGCUGGCGGUAGGCCUAACACAUGCAAGUCGAACGGCAGCACAGUAAGAGCUUGCUCUUACGGGUGGCGAGUGGCGGACGGGUGAGGAAUACAUCCGAAUCUACUUUUUCGUGGGGGAUAACGUAGGGAAACUUACUCUAAUACCGCAUACGACCUACGGGUGAAAGCAGGGGAUCUUCGGACCUUGCGCGAUUGAAUGAGCCGAUGUCGGAUUAGCUAGUUGGCGGGGUAAAGGCCCACCAAGGCGACGAUCCGUAGCUGGUCUGAGAGGAUGGUCAGCCACACUGGAACUGGGACACGGUCCAGACUCCUACGGGAGGCCGCAGUGGGGAAUAUUGGACAAUGGGCGCAAGCCUGAUCCAGCCAUACCGCGUGGGUGAAGAAGGCCUUCGGGUUGUAAAGCCCUUUUGUUGGGAAAGAAAAGCAGCAGGUUAAUACCCCGCUGUUCUGACGGUACCCAAAGAAUAAGCACCGGCUAACUUCGUG
RNAcentral lists this ribosomal RNA (492 nucleotides) under uncultured bacterium. RNAcentral describes it as "partial 16S ribosomal RNA". It matches the Rfam family "Bacterial small subunit ribosomal RNA", at positions 29 to 507 of the family's 1533-position model. The record is from RNAcentral.